GUAGGUGGCAAGCGUUGUCCGGAAUUAUUGGGCGUAAAGCGCGCGCAGGCGGUUCUUUAAGUCUGAUGUGAAAGCCCACGGCUCAACCGUGGAGGGUCAUUGGAAACUGGAGAACUUGAGUACAGAAGAGGAAAGCGGAAUUCCACGUGUAGCGGUGAAAUGCGUAGAGAUGUGGAGGAACACCAGUGGCGAAGGCGGCUUUCUGGUCUGCAACUGACGCUGAGGCGCGAAAGCGUGGGGGAGCAAACAGGAUUAGAUACCCUGGUAGUCCACGCCGUAAACGAUGAGUGCUAAGUGUUAGGGGGUUUUCCGCCCCUUAGUGCUGCAGCUAACGCAUUAAGCACUCCGCCUGGGAGUACGGCCGCAAGGCUG
This 372-nucleotide ribosomal RNA is filed under the name uncultured organism. RNAcentral's name for it is "partial 16S ribosomal RNA". It matches the Rfam family "Bacterial small subunit ribosomal RNA", at positions 527 to 896 of the family's 1533-position model. The record is from RNAcentral.